UACGUAGGGUGCUAACGUUGUUCGGAAUCACUGGGCAUAAAGAGCGCGUAGGCGGUCUGAUAAGUCAGGUGUGAAAUCCCCCGGCUCAACCGGGGAACUGCACCUGAUACUGUUGGGCUUGAGUGCAGGAGGGGAGAGCGGAAUUCCUGGUGGAGCGGUGAAAUGCGUAGAUAUCAGGAGGAACGCCGGCGGCGAAAGCGGCUCUCUGGCCUGUCUACUGACGCUGAGGCGCGAAAGCUAGGGGAGCAAA
Molecule: ribosomal RNA, 250 nt
Filed under: uncultured bacterium
Lineage: Bacteria
Description: partial 16S ribosomal RNA
Rfam family: Bacterial small subunit ribosomal RNA
Source: RNAcentral